GGAGGUAUAGCUCAAGUGGUAGAGCACGUGCUUAGCAUGUAUGAGGUCCUGGGUUCAAUCCCCAGUACCUCCU
This 73-nucleotide transfer RNA is filed under the name Camelus bactrianus (Bactrian camel). It matches the Rfam family "tRNA". From Rfam's summary of the family: Transfer RNA (tRNA) molecules are approximately 80 nucleotides in length. Lineage: Eukaryota; Metazoa; Chordata; Mammalia; Artiodactyla; Camelidae. The record is from Rfam by way of RNAcentral. RNAcentral also lists the same sequence under 1 other name.